AGCAGUAGCCGCGGGAAUACGAAGGGUGCAAGCGUUGUUCGGAAUUAUUGGGCGUAAAGGGUGCGUAGGCGGUUUGAUAAGUCUUGUGUGAAAUCUCUGGGCUCAACCCAGAGUCUGCACAGGAAACUGUCGGGCUUGAGAGUGGGAGAGGUGAGUGGAAUUUCCGGUGUAGCGGUGAAAUACGUAGAUAUCGGAAGGAACACCUGUGGCGAAAGCGGCUCACUGGACCAUUUCUGACGCUGAUGCACGAAAGCUAGGGGAGCAAACAGGAUUAGAUACCCCCGUAGUCCCUGUCUCUUAUAC
Molecule: ribosomal RNA, 303 nt
Filed under: uncultured bacterium
Lineage: Bacteria
Description: partial 16S ribosomal RNA
Rfam family: Bacterial small subunit ribosomal RNA
Source: RNAcentral